Molecule: long non-coding RNA, 850 nt
Organism: Bubalus bubalis (water buffalo)
Lineage: Eukaryota; Metazoa; Chordata; Mammalia; Artiodactyla; Bovidae
Exons: 3
Source: RefSeq, a predicted model, not a curated record
GAAAAGUGGAUACUGUACAAUCAAGUGGGGCUAUGAAAAGUGGAUACUGUACAAUCAUAUGGAACAGAAGAGAUCAUAGGGCAGGUGAAAUGAACCACUACCAACCACACCAAAGACUGGUCUUCAUCCAAAGAAGGAGGAAAACUAAAACCCUAAGAGAUGUGGUUGCUGUCCCAGUUCACAGCACAAGGUGGAUUCUUUGCCGUCUGAGCCACCAGGGAAGCCCAAUUAAAAGAUGUGGUACUGGUUCAUAGACAUAUAAACCAAUGGAACACACUAAAUCCAAGUGUAUAUAGAAAUUCAGUAUAUGACAAAGGCAUCUCUGGUAAGUAGGGAAAAAGUAGCAUAAUUUAAUAUAUGAUCUUGUGACAGCUUGUCAGUCAUCUGAAAAAUAAUAGUUAAAUGUAAAAAAAAGAAACCUUAAACAUUCUAUAGAAAAAAAAAUAGUGAAUGCUUUUAGAACCUUGGUGUGAAGAGGACUUUUUGAGUAUAACACAAAAUAUGGAGGACAUGAAAAGACUGGUAAAUCAAAAUAUGUAAAAAUAAAUUCUGUAUGGUGAGACCAUCAAGAAGGCCAAAAGAAAAAAAAUGGUGAAAAUAUUGGCAUUCCUAUAUUAUAUAUAGAGUAACCUCCUUAAUAUCUAAGAACUCUUCAAUGAUACAAAAAGACCAACUUGAUUGAAAACUAGUCCAAAGAUAUACACAGAGCUUAUACAGCAAAAGAAAUAAAAAGAACCCAAAGAUAUAGCUCUUGUCUUUGCUACCCUUUGUUAUACAUUCUCUCCGUUGAUUAUUAAGUUAAUACUAAGAAAAUAUUCUAUGUCACUCUGAUUAAGAAAUACAAAUAUAU